Molecule: transfer RNA, 135 nt
Filed under: Gemmatimonadota bacterium
Lineage: Bacteria; Pseudomonadati; Gemmatimonadota
Description: tRNA-Ser
Source: RNAcentral
GCGGCAGAUCGCUCAGUUGGUGAAGAGCAACGUCGGACUGGAAAUCGCGUUCGCCGACAUCGGCGGGUGGGACACCCAUGUGAACCAGGGUGGCGUGCAGGGGCAGCUCGCGAAUCGGCUUGCCGAUUUUGCGCA